RNAcentral lists this ribosomal RNA (403 nucleotides) under bacterium. RNAcentral describes it as "partial 16S ribosomal RNA". It matches the Rfam family "Bacterial small subunit ribosomal RNA", at positions 355 to 776 of the family's 1533-position model. The record is from RNAcentral.
UGGGGAAUAUUGCACAAUGGAGGGAACUCUGAUGCAGCGACGCCGCGUGAACGAAGAAGGCUUUCGCGUCGUAAAGUUCUUUUAUAUGGGAAGAUAAUGACGGUACCAUAAGAAAAAGCCCCGGCUAACUACGUGCCAGCAGCCGCGGUAAUACGUAGGGGGCUAGCGUUGUCCGGAAUCACUGGGCGUAAAGGGUUCGCAGGCGGAAAUGCAAGUCAGGUGUAAAAGGCAGUAGCUUAACUACUGUAAGCAUUUGAAACUGUAUAUCUUGAGAAGAGUAGAGGUAAGUGGAAUUUUUAGUGUAGCGGUGAAAUGCGUAGAUAUUAAAAAGAAUACCGGUGGCGAAGGCGACUUACUGGGCUCAUUCUGACGCUGAGGAACGAAAGCGUGGGUAGCAAACAGG